RNAcentral lists this transfer-messenger RNA (399 nucleotides) under Patescibacteria group. RNAcentral's name for it is "UBA12472 sp003487265 Standard tmRNA". It matches the Rfam family "transfer-messenger RNA". Rfam says of the family: Bacterial tmRNA, also known as 10Sa RNA or SsrA, is named for its dual tRNA and mRNA-like properties. Its role is to liberate the mRNA from a stalled ribosome. The record is from RNAcentral. RNAcentral also lists the same sequence under 2 other names.
GGGGAUGUAUUGAAUCGACGUGGCGGGCUCUUUACCAUCUGCAAGCCGGUUUGAUGAAACCGUAAAAGCAUCAAAAACACAACUGUCAAAUCAAUUCGACAGACAGCCGGAGACAUUUUGGCAAGCAUCGCUUCCUUCCUUUCUCCAGCUCCAAGCGUCCUCGCUUUUGCGUGAACGUAAGGCAUUCUGUUCUUCUCUCUCACUGAUGGAGGGAACAGGGUGGGAACACAGUCAGUGUGACUGCGAUCGCAUUGGUAGGGCGACCGCGUAAGCCUUUCUACCAGAAGAACGAGAACGGUUUGUUUCUCCACCACUCGUCCUAUUCAAAAAGACACUACGCUUGUAGAAGAUGAUGAUUUGCUCCUGCGGACCGCGGGUCAUUCCCGCGCAUCUCCACAA